RNAcentral lists this ribosomal RNA (405 nucleotides) under uncultured bacterium. Its description in RNAcentral is "partial 16S ribosomal RNA". It matches the Rfam family "Bacterial small subunit ribosomal RNA", at positions 28 to 526 of the family's 1533-position model. The record is from RNAcentral.
GAUGAACGCUGGCGGCGUGCCUAAUACAUGCAAGUCGAGCGAAGCGGGGACGGGUGAGUAACACGUGGAUAACCUCCUAUCAGACUGGGAUAACUUCGGGAAACCGGAGCUAAACCGGAUACUUUUAGAUGGAUCCGCGCUCCCUUAGUUUGUUGGUAAGGGAACGUCUUUCCAUGGCAACGAUGCAUAGCCGACCUGAGAGUGUGAUCGGCCACACGGGAACAUAGACAAGGUCCAGAGUCGUUGGCUGGGUGGCGGUAGGGAAUCGGCCGCAAUGGGCGAAAGCCUGACGGAGCAACGCCGCGUGAGUGAUGAAGUUCUUCGGAUAGUAAAACUCUGUUAUUAGGGAAGCGGUACCUAAUCAGAAAGCCACGGCUAACUUCGUGCCAGCAGCCGCGGUAAUUC